This 552-nucleotide long non-coding RNA is filed under the name Mytilus galloprovincialis (Mediterranean mussel). The record is from RNAcentral. Lineage: Eukaryota; Metazoa; Mollusca; Bivalvia; Mytilida; Mytilidae.
UCUAACUCCACCUUGAUUGUAAAAAUUUUGUUGAUUACAUAUGGAAUCACUGUAGCAUGUAUGUAGCGGACCAUUUUCUUGAGGCAGUCAUUGGGAGCCUUAUAUGAAAAUCCCCCUGCUCGUCAUAAGACCUGCAGCUGCCCACUGACAAAUUUUUCGCGGGUCCUCGUAGGGAAAUAGAACUUUUUGGAAAAUCUCCUCCCCGGUCAGAAUGGCAAACAAGAAGUAAGUCGGAUGAAUAGCAGGAACCAUCGAUUCGACGGUCGACUGUACCUGUCCUGGCUGGUUACGCUAUUUGUUUGCUAAAGAACCCUUGCGAUAAUUCUUUUAGGUUCACUAGUUGACCAGUUGAAAUUUCUGUCCUUGUCUUAUUGAUCCCGAUUUCCAGUGAUAUUUCAAAUUGUCCGCCUUCAUCCAAGCCUACCCCUAUUGCAGGAAAAUUUCUUAAAUUGUUUUUUUAUCCCACUUUACCUCUUUCAUCAUCCAAUAAUACACAUAUUAUUCAAAACGUAUACAUGCUUUGCCAUUUUAACAUUUAGUUUAAGAAUGAAU